Molecule: ribosomal RNA, 497 nt
Filed under: uncultured bacterium
Lineage: Bacteria
Description: partial 16S ribosomal RNA
Rfam family: Bacterial small subunit ribosomal RNA
Source: RNAcentral
GAUGAACGCUGGCGGCGUGCCUAAUACAUGCAAGUCGAGCGAACAGAUGAGGAGCUUGCUCCUCUGACGUUAGCGGCGGACGGGUGAGUAACACGUGGAUAACCUACCUAUAAGACUGGGAUAACUUCGGGAAACCGGAUCUAAUACCGGAUAAUAUAUUGAACCGCAUGGUUCAAUAGUGAAAGACGGUUUUGCUGUCACUUAUAGCUGGAUCCGCGCCGCAUUAGCUAGUUGGUAAGGUAACGGCUUACCAAGGCAACGAUGCGUAGCCGACCUGAGAGGGUGAUCGGCCACACUGGAACUGAGACACGGUCCAGACUCCUACGGGAGGCAGCAGUAGGGAAUCUUCCGCAAUGGGCGAAAGCCUGACGGAGCAACGCCGCGUGAGUGAUGAAGGUCUUCGGAUCGUAAAACUCUGUUAUUAGGGAAGAACAAAUGUGUAAGUAACUAUGCACGUCUUGACGGUACCUAAUCAGAAAGCCACGGCUAACUACGUG